Molecule: RNA transcript, 2460 nt
Organism: Cercocebus atys (sooty mangabey)
Lineage: Eukaryota; Metazoa; Chordata; Mammalia; Primates; Cercopithecidae
Gene: DDX51
Gene name: DEAD (Asp-Glu-Ala-Asp) box polypeptide 51
Exons: 14
Source: RefSeq, a predicted model, not a curated record
GCGCCGAGCCCGAGCCCCAGGCGUGCCGCUGGCCAUGUCGCUCUUCUACGUCGCGCGGUACCAGGGCCCCGAGGCGGCAGCUGCGGCGGGGCCGGAGGGCGCGGAGGCCGGGGCCCACGGCCGGGCCCGCGCGCUGCUCGAGCGGCUGCAGAGCCGGGCCCGCGAACGGCAGCAGCAGCGGGAGCCCGCGCCGACCGAGGCGGCUGCACCGACAGAGCCGGGGACCAGGAAGCGACGGCGGCCUCGGCGGCGGCGGCGGGUGAACGGCGCGGAGUCGGGCAGCCCAGAGGCGCGGCAGGGAAAGCGACGGAAGGCGGACGGCGAGGACGCGGGCGCAGAAAGCAGCGAGGAUGCGCCAGGGGAGCCCAGCUCAGGGAGCAGCGAGGAUACGCCAGGGGAGCCCAGCUCAGGGAGCAGCGAGGAUGCGCCGGGGGAGCCCAGCUCAGGGAGCAGCGAGAAGGCGCCGGGGGAGCGCAGCGCCAGCGCCGAGGCGGCCCCAGACGCACCCCUGGUCCCCGGCCUGGUGCUGGGGGGGUUCGGGAGGAGGAAGGCGCCGAAGGUCCAGCCUUUCCUGCCAAGGUGGCUGGCUGAGCCCAGCUGUGUCAGAAAGAACGUCAACGAAGAUCUGGUUCCUAUCGAGGACAUCCCUGAGGUCCACCCUGACCUGCAGAAGCAGCUGCGGGCACAUGGCAUCUCGUCCUACUUUCCAGUCCAGGCAGCUGUGAUUCCUGCCCUCCUGGAGAGCGCGGCCUGUGGGUUUCUGGUGGGCAGAGGCGGCUACCGGCCUAGCGACCUCUGUGUUUCUGCCCCGACAGGCAGUGGGAAGACACUGGCCUUCGUCAUCCCUGUGGUGCAGGCCCUGCUGUCCAGAGUGGUCUGCCACAUCCGUGCCCUGGUCGUGCUGCCCACCAAGGAGCUGGCCCAGCAGGUGAGCAAAGUUUUCAACAUCUACACGGAUGCCACACCUCUGAGAGUCUCCCUGAUUACGGGACAGAAGUCUCUGGCCAAGGAGCAGGAGAGCCUCGUCCAGAAAACCGCCGACGGGUACCGCUGCUUGGCUGACAUCGUGGUAGCCACCCCCGGCCGCCUGGUGGACCACAUCGACCAGACCCCAGGAUUCAACCUCCAGCAGCUCCGCUUCCUGGUCAUCGACGAGGCUGACCGGAUGAUUGACAGCAUGCAUCAGUCCUGGCUGCCACGAGUGGUGGCGGCUGCCUUCCAGAGUGAGGACCCCACGGACCCCUGUGCCUUGCUCCAGCGAAGACAGGCCCAGGCUGUGACAGCCGCCAGUACCUGCCGUCCGCAGAUGCCCCUGCAGAAGCUGCUCUUCUCGGCUACUCUGACCCAGAACCCCGAAAAGCUGCAGCAGCUGGGCCUCCAUCAGCCCCGGCUUUUCUCCACAGGGCUGGCACACAGGGGCCUGGCAGAUACAGAUGGGGACGGGGACUCGGGGAAGUAUGCCUUCCCUGUUGGGCUCACGCACCACUACGUGCCCUGCAGCCUCAGCUCUAAGCCGCUGGUUGUCCUGCACCUGGUCCUGGAGAUGGGCUUCUCGAGGGUUCUCUGCUUCACUAACUCCCGAGAGAACUCCCACAGGCUCUUCUUGCUGGUGCAGGCUUUUGGGGGUGUGGACGUGGCUGAGUUCUCCUCGCGCUACGGCCCUGGCCAGAGGAGGAGGAUCCUGAAGCAGUUUGAACAGGGGAAGAUCCAGCUGCUCAUCAGCACGGAUGCCACCGCCCGAGGCAUCGAUGUGCAGGGUGUGGAGCUGGUGGUGAACUAUGACGCCCCCCAGUACCUGAGAACUUAUGUGCACCGGAGAGGAGGUUCCUCCAGAUGCUGACUGAAGCUGGGGUGCCUGAGUUGCGGCGGCACGAGCUCUCCAGCAAGCUGCUGCAGGCCCUGGUUCCUCGGUACGAGGAGGCCCUGUCCCAGCUGGAGGAGUCCAUCAAGGAAGAGCACAAGCAGAGGGCGGCCUAGGCCGGGGCUCGGAGGGCCCGAGGGACUGCACCAGAGGACCAGAGGGACUGCGCGCUCACCACCCUGAGCCUCCUUCCAGAGCUGAUCACUGAUGCUCUGUGUGAGGAAAGGAGUCCCCCAGCGGACACAACCUUCCUCCCUGAGCACGUGGUCUCUGCGCCAGACAGCCUGGGCGUCAAAGCUCAAGCACACGCCCAGACUGGAGACUUUAGGGCCUGUCACUUUCAUGGCCUGAAGGUCAGGAUGGCCGCUGGCAAUGAAGCCUCAGUAAAACUAUGAAAAGUACUCCCAGACAGACACAGUGGCACCUGUCAUGAUUUUGGCUGAGAGUUGUCGGGAUUAACCUUGAGCUAAUGUUAAAAAUGAGGCUCUCGGCCAGGCGUGGUGGCUCGCGCCUGUAAUUCCAGCACUUUGGGAGGCCAAGAUGGGUGGAUCACCUGAGGUCAGGAGUUCGAGACCAGCCUGACCAACAUGGAGAAACCC